This is a non-coding RNA of Trichonephila clavipes, 79 nucleotides long. NCBI's taxonomy places the organism in Eukaryota, Metazoa, Arthropoda, Arachnida, Araneae, Nephilidae. The record is from the annotation of a GenBank genome assembly.
GUCCCUGUAGCACAAUGGAUAUUGUGUGUGCGUUGGACUUCUAAUCCAAAGUUCAUCAGUUCGAAACACAUCUGGGAUG